UGAUUAUGCUCAGUCUCAGCUCUCAGCUAGUCUCAGCUCUCCUAUGGAGUUUUGUCGAACUGGUAUCAACGUUGCUUGUUGAGUUGGUGAUCGAUAAGUCCAAAAUAAUCAUCUAAAUUCAUGGUCGGGACUCGGGAGUAUUUACCAUCUAUCAGAAAAGGCUGUUGACUUGCAAACGUAUACAGUUUCUAGUCUCGCGUCAUCAAUUCUAUCACUAGCUAGUAAUUACCACUGAAUCGAGUGAGCGAAACAACCAAAAUUUUAGGCAUACAUUAAUAGAUCGAAUUAGAAAUCAAAUGAACAGUCUGGUCUAUAAAUUGCCCUGGCAUGCAUAGUACUACAAGUAGGUAUGCCUUACCUCACUUACUAAAUUGGCAUUGCAGACAUUGGCCCCAGUCUUUCCCUAGCUGUCCUUCUAUAAGAUUUGGAGAACAGAGCUAGGAUUAAUUCUCAUUGCGGCCAGCAGCCGGCCGGACAUCGCAGCUAGGUUUAUAUGGCCGGUUGAAUGAGAUCAGAAAAUGUUUCGCGGGGAUCGACAAUCUUCUGCGUUUGCCUUUAGUAUGCAUAUGCAAAUGCAGCUAGCUACUAGCUCCUCCAUGAAUGUUUCUCUCUCUCCAUCUUUCUAGCAAGUUUUCCAGUCGAUCGAUUUAGUAUUCAUAUAUUGACAUAUGAGAGCUUGAUAGUUAUGCAUAUGCAUUGACCUUUCAUUAACGGUGGACCUUACUCCAAAAGGGAUAAAAUACGAUGGCCGGAUUCCAUAAAAUACGAUGAACUUCUAUAGAAAUAGAAGAGGUACGUACAUACAAGUUACAUCAGCAAACUACCUAUGCAAUUAAAGAACGUGGACACGAACCUUACUCUAUCUUCCUCUGCUUUUGAACAAGUAGACCGAAGAAACAAAUUUGGAAGAAGCAAAUACAAAACCGGCCCGAUCAUAAAGAUGUGCCGCAUUAUUCCAUGAAAGUUAAAGAUCAGGCAAGCAUGCAUUGAUGCAUACUAUUAUUAUUACAUGAAGAUAUAUAUAGUUACAUGCUUAUUAAAAUGUUCAACGAAAUUGAUAGUACUGGUCGAUCUGGCAGGAGAUCUGCAGUAGUGUCUGUGCUUGUGGUUAUGCUUAUAGGUAAUUUGGUAUCCUUACUCCUUAGCACCCUUAAGAUUUUCGCUCUCAAGUGGAAAGAGCUCCAGAGUUUGAUUUGCUCUACUACUUUCUUCGAAUUCUCCUCUGUAAACAUUGGUUGCAGUCAAUACCAUACCGUAAUCAUAAUCAUAAUAGUGAUGAAAGUCCAAGAGCUUUGGACAAACAAAUGUAGCUGACGCAUUUGUGUCUGAUGCCGGUCCAGGUGAAUCGGAUUGCUUCACAAGUUGCCUGGAUGAAUUGCUUUUCACCAUGCUCAUCAUCAUCCUCUCUUGCAGUAUUGAAGAUGAUUCCUGAGGACAUACAGUAACGAUUGAAACUCAUGCAUAUAUCACGCAUUCAAUAUUUCUAUAUUUUCUUAAGAUUUUUGGUUUACCUGAUCAGAGAGAAUAGUGAAGUUGUUUGGUAGAAUCCACUUAUUCUGCUGCUCAUCUUCAAGAGGAAGAACCAAGUCAACUGCAAGUAAACAAUGUCCAUAAUUUGUUAUAAUCUCUCAAUUAAUUUUUUCCCACCUAGUCAACUAGUAAGUUUUGAGCCCUAGCCCCCCAUUACCUGGGGAGGGAGCCAUAUAUGUGUCCAACCAGAGAUUGCAUGCAUGUUAAUAAUAAAAAACGUGCUAAUUAAUUGGUACCUCCUGCAGAUCCUUUGUCCUGGAGACUGCUAACCGUGUUGUUACUCAAGUUUUGUUGUUGUUCUUUGGAGUCAGACUGAUACAUGGACAUGAGUUCACGGCGUCUGAUCUUCUGCCUCUCCCUGGCUCGGUGGUUCUGAAACCAGUAGAACACAUUCUUGCCUUCAAUCCUCCCAAAGUUUCGAAGCUGCGCAGUCAGCUGUCGGAUUUGUUGGGCCGUCGGUGUCUUUAACCCAUGUCGAUACAGCUCUUCCAGAGCCAUUAGCUGAUGCGGGGUUGGACUCCAUCGGGAAUUUCGCCAAGGAACUGCAGACUUCGGUUGUUUAUUACUAUAACAACAACUUCUGCCUUGCUCAGACGACGUCACUGGAAUCACUGCAUACAUAGUGAUCAUAUUAUUAUACCUACCCACAGAAAUGACAGAACAAUAAUCACACUAUCAAAGUAUACAAGGUUCAUGUACGUACUCUGAUAAUGGUCGUCGUUGAAUGGUACCAUAGGGUUCUGGGUCAUGUUGGAAGUAGAGUUUUGGUCUGGAGUGAGUAGAGGCUGAAGAUUUGCAGGUUUGAUGGAGUAGUCAGGGAGAUCCCUACUAUUGUGUAUUUUAGGGUCUUGGCUACACCCCUUCAUCAUCCACAUCACUGAUAAUUAUUGAAACGAGGAUGUAUAUAUAUGGUUAAGUAGACAAUUUGAAUCAUAUGAACAAAGAUGGUAAGGGGAUGGAGCUAGAGAGUGAAGCAUGCAUGCAUGUAUAUAUGCACCAUAGUUAUUAUAUAUGAAGAAGCAGUCGACAUACGCACGUAUAUACGUUAUAAUUUUUUUCCACAUUUAUUCUCUUUUAUAUGAUUAUAUAAUUAUAUCUCUUGGCCACUCCCAGCAACUACGUACGUCAGCUGCUGUUCUUCUCUGAUCGACAACUUUACAUAUUUGAUUAUCGCUUGACAUGGGAUGACCAGUGAUGAAACCAGGAUCGCAAGCUUAUUUAAAUUACUGUUAAAUUAUUUUUCUCAUUUGAAGAACUCGCUAAUUAAAUAACUUUAGCUUUUAUCUCAAAGAUUUGAACACAUGCACAUUCCAAAUAAUAGGGUAAAAGUUAUAAAUAACCCUCACAGUUUGGGGUCAUGGUUACAUUCGUCACCAUGGUUUAAAAAUGAUUAAUUUUGAUCCUCGUGUUUUAUAUAUCGACUAAUUAUAGUCCAAUGAUAACAUUUUGUCUAACACCGUUAAUGAGGCGCGCACAUGUUGAGGCAAUUUAUCUAUAAAAUAAUGAAUGAAAAUAACCAUAAAUUCUAACACCCACAAUCAUAAUAAAGUUAAUAGGCAGUAUGAUUUAUCCCAGAUAUUUGCAUUGGAACUCAACCCUUUGUGCGAUUAAGAUGUAAAAUUUAAAACCAUUAUUCAUCUAUCAAAGUGCAAAAAAGUCAUUAGAUUUAAAAUUUUGGGGGCGGAUCUGUGACAUACAAGAUUAUAAUCAAAAUUAUAACCAUAAUAUCAUCUAUUAGAUCCAAUAACAACUAACGGUUAAGAUUAGUCAUAAAAUUAAUUUUUUUUUUCUUUAAUUCAAUUUAUGAAAUCUAUCUAAAUAAAAAUUGAUGAUUACUAUUCUCCAUUUGGAAUAUAAUUAAGAGGAAAUAAUUUGUUUCCUAUUGAAACUCGUUUACUAGAGAGAAAAGAAAACAAAUUAAGUCUCCAAUCUAGUACGUGCAUCUUAGACGUACUCAUUUUAGCUUAUUGUUAUUCAUAGCACAAGAUGAUACGAGUAUUUCCAUACAUAAUCUGAUUAUAAGUUUUCAAACGUGUUAUGACAGACAUCAUUUGAUAAUUUUUUUUCUUUGAAGAAAAAGAGGUAGAUGAUGAUAUAUAGUACUCUCUAGUAAAUGAGUUUCAUCUGAUAUUUAUUUUUUUCUUUUUUUAUCUAGUAAAUGGGUUUCAAUAGAAAACCAUUAACUUUCUUAAUUGUAUUUCAAAAUGAGAGUAGGUAAUCAUCAAUUUUCAUUAUGUUUUUAAUCAAUAGAUUUUCUUAAUUGAUUUAAAUAAAUUGAAAAGAAAAGAAAAAAUAUUUAGUUUUAUGACUUAUCUCAACCGUUAGUUGUUAAUAUAUUUAAUGGCUGAUAUUCUUGUUAUAAUUUUGAUUAUAAUCUUGUAUGUCACGGAUCCGUCCUCUAAAAUUUUAUAUGAUCUGGUUUGAUUCUAGUACGUAUUCGAUAUUCUCCAUAAUUUCAUACAAAACUUUGGCAAUUUGUAAAAAAGGUCAAAAGUAUUAUGGGGAAGUGAAAGGAAGUGAGAAUUUGGAAGAUUAAUUUGAUCAACAAGACAAAAAACAAGGAUAAGAUGAAGAAAUAAUUUCUUUUAAUACGCCAUGACAAUUAUGCCUAGGUUUUGGGAGUUCUUCCUUAUUCUUAGUAAUUUGUUUUUUCAUUUUCCUUAUAAUUCUAUUUAACUUUUAUUUUUUUGUUUGAUAAAAAAUGUAUAAGACAUAAUUAUCUCAUGAUGUCGGCGUAAGAAUUUUAUUAACGGUGUUAGACAAAAUGUUAUCAUUGGACUAUGAUUAGUCGAUAUAUAUAUAUAUAAAACAUGAGGAACAAAAUUAAUCUUUUUUAAACCACGAUAAUAAACAUAACCAUGACUCCAAACCACAAGUACCAUUUAUAACCUUUACCCCAAAUAAUAUUUAGCCGAGCUCAAUAUCGAUGAUAAAGGACAAAUUUAAGUAACUUGGCCACAAUUACAUAAAGGAAUUGAUUAAUACACCACUAAAUUAGUAGUAAAUUAAUGUAAAUUGACCAAUCAAACUUAAUAACAAUACCAAAACAAACAAAACGUGUGCAGUUGCCUGGUUAGGGUGGGAGUUCACUUGGUUGCAUUAUUUUAUAGCCAAAAUAUCAUUGAAUUGGAAGAGUCUCGAAUUGGAAACUAAAUGGCCAUCACCUUCAUUGGACCCCUUCGUACCGUAUGACGUUAUCCCGGAUGACAUCACCGCCAUAAUAUAAUUGGCAAUAAUUGAAGACCAUCUUUUUUAUCGAUGAAAAUUGAAGACCAUCUUUAUGAUUUCAAGUGUAUCCUAGCUAACUACUGACAGUAUACGACUUUUAAUUUCUGGAUUAAUUGAUGCGCUAGCCAGCUCGAUCGUCUGUGCUUCUCUCGAUCAUCUUCUUCAAUACGACUCUUCUCUGCCUCCUCCUCAAAUCUGAGAAUCUGGGGAGAGUAAUUUUCAAUUUAAGUCUCGAUCGGAUCCAUUCCAUCCCCGUGAACGCCAUAAACGUCGAGCACAUGCUGGCUGCGUUCGUUGCAACCCUAAUCCAACUAAUUAGCACAUUGAUCCUCACAUUCACUUUUAAUUCUGAUCGAGCUAAUACUAUAAUAGACCAGAUCAUGUCCCUCCUGAUUGGAUUCCCUCCGGUUUGAUUUGAUUGAGCAACGGACUGUUCACGUACUGUUUGUUCUUCUCGAUCUUUCUCAUCAUUAAUGUACGUUCAUCAAGGACUACUUUCCCUGCUGAAGGGGUGAGUUCUCGAAUACGCCGGGAGUAACUUCAACCAGUGCGAGACCUGGAAUAUCAGUAAAACAAACAGACCGUUAUCGGUAUAAUGGUUAGACCGGUACGGUUAAAAAAGACUCGGAUCCUGGAGCCGGCAUUUCUGUCCCUCCAUAAUAGUUGUGUGGCCGAAGAUUCCUUAGUGUGUAUGUUUUUCUGUUGAGCAAAUUUUCGAUAAAUAUCCUGGAGAGGCAUUUCUGUCCGUCCAUAAUGCUUAUUGUUUUGUUGUAGCUAGCUAGCUUGGCGGGGGAUAUAGCUACUCACCAAGUCACUGUAAUACAAAUGAUCGAUCGAUGAUAUGAUAUUUGAUAUUUCAUUCAGUCGACCUGUUGGUAGUUGAUCAGUAUUAUUAACACGCCUCCCACGUUCCUCCAUAUUAUGCAGAUUUCGCCAUAACUUUGCUGUCCCUAGCUCGCAAGCUCAACACGUUCCUCCAGAUAAUAUAUGCGGAUCGAUUUCGCUGUAACUUUUGCUGUCCCUAGCUCGCAAGCUCAACACGUACGUACGAACACUGUAGUUUUUCCGUUAAUAACCUCUCCGAUUAAAUCUCAUUAUGAUGACAUUGGGGCCAGUACGCCUCCGAUCAGCUGCUGUUCCUCCUCGAUCUCUGAUCCUUCACACAAUUGAUUAUUUUUCAGAUCAUUACUAUUGAACAUAGACGAUCGAUCGGAUGACAUCACCGCCAUGAAUAUUUGUCAAUAAUGCGAUACCAUCAUUAUGGUUUCAUUUGAAUCUAUACUAGCUAGCUAGCCAGCUACAUUUAGAAUGAACCAAGUAUAGGCUUUUGGAUAAAACCAUAGGCUUUAACUACGACUGAAAGUUGACACAUCUCUGAGUUGCAUAAAGAUCAGACUGAGGGUCGUGAUCGAACCCUUACCUCACUAGGUCAGAUUUUUGCCCUAAUUGUGGCUUGGUAUCAUGGUAUGCAUAUCCAGCUACUAGUUCCUCCAUGGAUAUUUCUCUCGCGAUCUCAAUAAUUUACAAUCAUUGAUGAUUUUCAAACAAUUUUCCAAUUAAUGGAACUCGAAAAAUACCUUGUUAAGAUGUCAAAGAGGGUAUCAACCAUCCGUAGAGUUUGUUAAUUAGAGAAUUUAGUUACAUAUGAGUUUAUAUAAUUCUGCAAGAGAUCCAUUAAUCCGAUCCAACUCUGUUUUCAGAAUAAGUCAUUAUCAGUUUCCUCCGGUGUCUCUCGAUUGUACAUGAGAGCUUAGAGAAAGCCUGAAGAAAAUGUAUCAAACUGAGAGAAAAUGGAAACUCUUACAGUCUUACUCGUAUUAUGGUGGAACUAAUGACAGAUGCAAGUGUUAGGGCUCAGUAUUGAUUUAUUAUCUAUAGUAGACUAUUACAUAUUGAUGACUAGCUUACUGACACAGAUAAGACAGAUUAAGCUACUAACAUGGUCGCCGAUCACUUUGCUAAAUUAGACCGAACUUAUUCUCAAAAUUGUAUAUAUAGUACUUUAUCCUUGUUAAUUACUGUUUGAUUAAGCCUCGUAUAAGAUCCUAAUGGAAUCUUUGUAAUUUUGUAUCUUACUUUAAAAAAGAAAAAAGAUUAAGCUAGAAAUGAUCAUUGGGCUAAUUAAUUAAGCUAGAUUAAGCAGCAGUGUCAUGACAGAUUAGGGCAAAUUAAUUAAGCUAAUUAACUAAUCACUACAGUUAACACUUUAUCUUCUUUCUUCGUUUUUUUUGGCUUUGUUCUCAGCUUUGUUCCGGGCUUCUUCUUCUUCUUCUUCUUCUUCUUCUUCUCUCUCUCUCUCUCUCUGCAGUUCUGGAAUUCUAAAUUACCACUGCUCCUUUUAAGCCGAAAUGCAUAAUGGCCUUGCUUGUUUCGAUUAUGCUCACUCGGGGCUCUUGGACGGCUCUAUUAUGGAGCUUUGUCGAACUGAGACUCGAGGUCGGCCGUAGGAGAAUAAGUGAAUAACCCUAUAAACGCGUUGCUUGUGGUAUCGGUGAUCAAUAAGUCUCAAAUAAUUAUCCAAAUUCAUAGUCCGAUGGUCGGGAUAUAUAACGUAAUUUCCAUCUAUCAGAAAAGGCUAGGCUGUCGGUAUAGUUUUACAAGUUAGUUAUUUACAGUUUCAAUUCUAGGGUUUGUCAGCUAUAUUUACAGAUCUACGAGGCCCGCACGUACACGUACAGCAGAUAGAUCUCGCGUCAUCAAGUUUCACUAGUAAUUGCCAUAAAAGUGGGGAUGAGUCGUAUAAAUUGCGCAGGCAUGCUAAGUAGGUAUGCUUAUUACCUCACUUACUAAAUAGGCAUUGCAGACUUUGGCCCUUAUCUGUCCCUUUCCAUCUCUAGUCCGGUGAGCGCAGGCUGCGCAGGCUGCGCAUGCAGCUCAACUUUAAUUUAUCUCAUAGCCGGCCGGUAGCCACUUGCAGCAGUUGGAGGCUACGAAAACGCGUCACGGUUGGCCCCUGGCUUUUAAGAUACAUGGUUGAAUGAGAUCAGAAAUUGUUUCACGGUGAUCGACCGUAUCUUCAGCGUUUGGCUUUGGCAUGCAUAUAUAAGCAAAUGCAGGUACUAACUACUCCAUAGAUGUUUCUCUCUCCAGAUCGUUCUUUAUAGCUAGUUUGCUAGUCAUUGAUGAUUGAGUAUUCAUUGCUGAAUUAUUUUUACCCACCCUCACCAAGUUUCAACCGUACAUGAUCUGUUUCAUUGGAGUAUAUACAUGCAGGAAAUUAAGGGUGUUCCUUAAUUAGCAUAUGAUUGUAAUUGUUUAUAAACUUUACAUAUGUUUCUAGCUCUUUUGGGGUUAUCAGUAUUAUCAGUAGUCUAUUAACUGGACUACUUUAGUUGAUAAUUAAGAUUCCUUGAUAAUCAUAUAUGGUACAUGCAUAUACAGUACAUAUACUACACGCAAAGCAAGCUACCUACGUUGGUAACGUGGUAUGAAUGUAUAGAAGGAACAAUGCUGGCCUGGGUACGGGUGCGACUAUAUAUCCAGAGACUCAGAGAGAAAAGCUAGGUGAGUAUUGUAAUGACCGAAUCGUACUAUGGAUACCAGCAUGCAUGAAUACACCGAUAUAUAACACCCUGACCAACUAUCAAAUUUUCCGACGAACGUAUUUUGGUUUUUGGUUUUUACUUUACUGACGGACGUAUCCAUGAAAAUAUGUAUAUGAAGGUUGCAUGACUGAUAAUUGAAGCUAGCAAUUAACAAAUCCAGUUAUUAAUGCCUUCUUUCUUUUCUUCACUAAUUCUGGAUGUAAAACCUAAAAUUAGCUCAUCAGUUCUUGUUUAUAUUAUGGGCCGGCGUUGAAGGAAUGCUAUACAAGCUAUAUAUGCAGCUAGCGUUACUGUUCAGUCGCAAGCACAAUAAUAACAGAAAAUGCAGGACCAGGCAACUCUGAAACUGAUCUUGAAGCUUGCUACUCAUGGCGGAGCCAAUGAAGAACCAGUGAAGGCCCGUGCUCCCAGAUAAAUAUUGAAUUUCAUUGGCUACUAUAUCCUAAUUCAUCGAUUAAAGGAGGAGGACGUACACCAAUCUUCCUCUUCCUCUACGUUGUUUGAACAAAUAGCUAGAAGAAACAAUAAUGGGAACAAGAAAAUACAGAACCGGCCUGAUCAUAAAGAUAUGCCGCAUUAUUCCAUCGAAGACGCCUAUGCAAACUUUUAUUACAUGGAAAUAGAAAUUUCUAGUUAUAUGCUGCCUUAAAUUCUUCAAAGAAAUUGAUAAUACUAUCUGCCAUGAAAUUUGCAGUAGUGUCUGUGCUUGUGGUUCUGCUUAUAGAUAAUUUGGUCUCCCUAUUAGCACCCUUAACAUUGUCGCUCUUGAGUGGAAAGAGCUCCAGAGUUUGAGUUUCUCUACUUUCUUCUUCUUCUUCUUCUUCUCCUUUGCAAAUAAUGGGUGCAGACAAUACCAUACCGCAAUCAUAAUCAUAAUAGUGAUGAAAGUCCAAGAGCUUUGUGUAACUUAAUGUAGCUGACGCGUUUGUGUCUGAGGUCGGUCUAGGUGAAUUCGAUUGUUCCACUAGUUGCCUGGAGGAAGUGCUUUGCACCAUGCUCAUCAUCCUCUCUUGCAGUACUGAAGAUGAUUCCUGAGGACGUAGUACAGCAACAAGUGAAACUCAUGCACAUGUGUAGUGUAAAUAUCCAUAUCACGCAUUCAAUUUAUUUCUUAAUUUUGUUGAGAUUUGGUUUGAUAAACCCUAGCUACCUGAUCAGAACGAACAGUGCAGUUUGGUAAUUUCCACUUAAUCUGCUGCUCAACUUCGAGACUUGAGUUUGUUAGUCCUGCGCGCAAGUAGCAGUUAAGUACAGUUACUCAGCCGUAGGUGACCUAAAGGAGUAAAGGUGGUGACCUCAACUAGUGUUGAGCCCUAGUUUUUUUUUUCUUUUUCAAGCCCUAGUCCCCCUAUUAACACAUACAAUGAUGUUAAUAAGAAAAUGAUGCUAAUUAAUUGGUACCUCCUGCAGAUUCUUUGUCUUGGAGACCGCUAAUUGUGUUGUUAGUCAAAGUUUGUUGUUGUUGUUUGGAGUCAGACUGAUACAUGGACAUCAGUUGACGGCGUCUCUUCUGCCUCUCCCUGGCUCGGUGGUUCUGAAACCAGUAGAAUACAUUCUUGCCUUCAAUCCUCCCAAAGUUUCGAAGCUGCGAAGUCACCUGUCGGAUUUGUUGGGCCGUCGGUGUCUUUAAGCCAGAUCGAUACAGCUCUUCCAGUGUCAUUAGUUGUUCCGGGGUUGGAUUCCAUCGGGAACCUCGCGAAGGAGCUGCAGCUGCCGGUUUUUUAUCAAUAUAAAAACAACCACGGCUGCUUCUGCUUGGCUGAGACGAUGUCACUCGAACCGCUGCAUACAUAUGAAUAUAAUUACUAUCACUAUGAUCACGUACCCACAAUAUAAUCAAAUCAUCAAAUUAGACUAGUUUGUGUGCAUACUCUGAUGAUGGUGGUGGUUGCACGGUAACACAGGGUUUUGCGUCGUGUUGGAAGUAGAGUGUAUGUUAGGGUCUGUACAACCACCGGUGCUACACUCCAUUGUCAUCCACAUCUGUAACUGAUAGAUAUUCAAACGAGAAUGGCUAUGCCGAGAAAGGGAAUGUUUAGGAUGACAAAGAGCAAAGAUGAGAAGGGGAUGAAGAGACUGAAUGAGGUACGGAUGUAUAUAUAGUCAUAGAGCUUGCUUCCUUUUUCAAUUCCCAAUUAACCAUGCAGGAAUAAUGGAAGAACACAAAAUAAAAGGAUGACAUUGAGCUUACGUAAACGAAGAGAGGGAAAUAAUGAUAGAAUUAAGUCUUCAUGUCUCACAUGCUCCCAUCCUCCUGACAAUUGCAUUUACUGUUCAACAAAACUUUGUCUGGACAAUAAAAUUUACAACCUUUUUUUUCCUAUUAUCCCCUUCAGUUUUUAUUUAAUUAUUUAUUUAUUAUGAAAUGCUUCACUAAAGUUUGUUUACUUAUGAAUUCUUCUAAAUUUUAGUUAUUGUAGCGUCUGAUAUAUGGAAAGGAUUCCUUAUUCCUUAAUUACAUAACAUUUCAGAUUACAGUUAAUUUCAAGUUUCUAUCAAACAAGCUAGUUUGAUCGACUCUGGUAAGCAAGCUAGCUAGUAAUUCCCAUGCAUCCAGAAAUAUACUGGAUAUAUAUGCAUGCAGAAUAUAUACACCAGAUUCCAGAUAUAUGUAGUAUAUAAAAGUAUGGUUUGAGAAUAAGUGCAGUACUGGAGCUAUAUAUAACGAUCUACGUAUAUAUAUGGUCUAUAUAUUUUGAAACUUUGCGUGUGCUUAUUGUUUUGUUGUAGCUAGCUUGGGGAUAUAGCUACUCAUGAGUCAUGACCAAGUCGUCACUGUAAUACAAAUGAUCGACGAUAGCAAGGAUUUUUCAUUCAAAUUGAUUUGUUGCUACGUAGUUGAUCAGUUAUAACGUAUGCACUUAGUUUAGAGAGAUACCAGUCGAACCCCCACCUAAACAUUUCCAGGUAUUGUCUGCAUCAGUAGUAAUUCUACCAUCAAUAAUAUCAUGACCACGCCGGCCUCCGCACCUUCGUCCGGCCCAGAUUAUGCAGACUUCGCCAUAACUUUUCUGUCGACUCUAGCUCGUGAGCUCAACAAGCACACUAUAGUUUUUUCGUUCUUAGUUCCUCCAAUUUAUUCUCAUUUACAUCUCUUGGUCGACGCUGGUCAGUACUCGAUCAGUAGUAGCCACCUCAGCUGUUGUUCCUCCUCUCUGACGUCUUUACAAAUUAUUCAGAUCAUUAUUGGACGUCAUUGGAUACUUGACGAUCGGAUGACAUCACCGCCAUGAAUUUUUGGCAAUUAUGGCCGACCAUCUCUAUGGUUUCAUUUGAAUGCUUACCUAGCUCCUCCCACUGUCUUUCUCCGAUUCGGUUAUCCGGUUUCUCCUUCUCUAAGCUUACAAUUCCUAAUCAGUAGAUGAAAACAAAUAUUGCUCGAUCUGUUCAAACAUCGUCAACAAGUUUAUACGGUGAUGCAUGGAUGCUUUUGUGGGAUUUGGUGAUUAUCAAAACGGAACUCAAACUAGUUUUCUUUUUUGGAGUAGUGUUAUUCAGAUCUUCUAUAGUAACUAGAAGUCUAGAACUUUAAAGUCAAACCGCAGAUUAAGGUCACUCAUGAACACAUGUAUCAAUCAUCGAUCUGUAGCGUUUAUUAGAGAAAUUAGUUACAUAAGAGUUAGUAUCAAAACCAUAAUCUCGCUCUGUAAUGUUUGGUUAAUUAGCCUUAUAAUAUUCGUCAAAAUUACUUGGAGAAAUCAAUACCAGUUCGUCUUCUUCUUCCUUAGUUUCCUUUAAUUUCGUGGUUUCUUCUACCUUUCGCUGUUUCACCAUGAAUUUUAGCACUACAUACGUAGGUCUGGCCACAGAAAUAAGAUCAAGUACAAAUCCUGGUUAGCUAGCUCGAUCAUAUAGCUCUAGAAGAUCUAGUAGAGAGCCCAUGAAUCAAGCUCGCCGCGACCAAUUAACUACUGACAGUAUAUGAUUUUUAAAAAUAUGGAAUGGUGCAUAUCCUAUCAUGCAGGACUUUUAAAUUCUGGAUUAAUCUGAUGUGGUACCUAGCUCGAUCGUGUCUGUCUUUUCUCAUCUUCUUCAAUGAAUCCGAGUUUCUUCUGGCUCUUCCUUAAAUCUGAGAAUCUGAGAAGAGAAAUUUUCAACUUAAAUGUCUGCAUCGGAUCCAUUCCGUCCCCGCGAAUGCAAUAACGCAGAGCACAUGUUAGCUGCAUUCUUCAUCCUGAUCCAACUUAGCACAUUGAUCCUUACAUUCAUUUAGAUUGAGUUAAUAAAUAGUGUAGUUCAUGACCCUCCGGAUUGGAUUCGAUCUGGUUUGAUUUAUUCAGUAUUCACUGUUUGUUCUUCUCUUUUUUUCAGUACGUUUUCUUCCCAGAAUCCUAGAAGUUACCCUCACCCAUCUAGUAAGCCUAACACUAGAACAUAUAUAUGACAGGAACUGGGAAGACAGAUACUUCCAUUUGCAAUUCCUUUCAGAGCCAUUCAUUUUUAGUCUGGUCAAUGUUGCAAAGGAGCUUUAAGAAUGAUCAAUUAAGUUACAGUACCUUGACUACCUUCCAUUGUUCCAUGAUAACUGAAAUGGUAGAAGUUUGCACUUGCAUAUGUAAAAACAAUGUAAUUCUGAGGAACAAAAUCAACACCUUAUAAUUAUAUAGCUGCAUAGCUAACUUAUACGCAGCUACAUUUCGUUCUCCCUUGCUUCUCAAUUGGAUUUACAAAUAAUAUGGCAAUAUGUGAGGCAAAAGAAUCAUGAUUAGGAAUAUGGAAUGAGUCGAUUCCCGAUGCAGACAUCUAGGUAAUCUUUUCUUUUUCUUUCCUAAAUCAAGUUUUUUGGUUACUAAUGAUUGACUAUAGAACGCAUGGAUUAAUACAUUGAUAAUUAACUACUCGAGAAGCUUAUUGCAGGUGCCAACACCUACAGCUGCAGCAAGAUGCCAUGCAGCAUGAAGGUAUGGAGUUUUGGGAAACACAUCAUCUGCAAUAAAAAGUACACCACCCAGUAAUGACGACAGCUUAUGUACAUUAUGUGCCAUCUUUAGCUCUGGAUCUUUUAAUGCUCUUUUGGCAAACGCUACCUGCAGGAAACAAUAUAGUUAACAUAAUUUUUUCAGGUAAUUAAGCUCUUUUUUUUUCUUUUUCUUUUUGGUUACAGCAAGGUAAGAAAGUUCAAUAAGCAGUCCACUAAGACAAUGCGAGUUUGCAGCUUUGUUUGGUGGGCAAAGGCCCAUAUAGAGUAGACCACAGUAGUUUCAGUUUAAGUUUCUCAACCUCAAACUGGGGUCAAUUUGAAUGGCGCUACUUUGCCACAGGUUUUUAUCAUCCCUGCUGGAGUACAUGUUAAAACUAUUGAAUUUGGUGUACUUCACUACACUAUAAUCUCAUAGACCAAAGGGAUUCCAUAUGUCUGCUGUUUUGUACAUAAAAGAGAUACUAAAAUGAAUCAUUUACAGAACCUAGAUAUCCAACAAACCCUUGGAAUGAUUCAUGAUUUCUAACAGAACAGUUUCAAACAAAGAGAUAAAAGAAGGAAGUAGAAAUUAAAAACUUGAUGAGAAGUAGUGGUCAAAGUACAGCAAGUUACCUCCAUCAUUCCAGUAUGAACAGCUGAAACCAUCAGAGGCUGGAUAGGGAGAAAUACCGCAGAAGCUGCCAUGAGGAAUUUUGAGUUUUCAUUUCUGAGGGCUCUUGAGAGGCACUGCAAAAAUAUAAUGCCCAAGUGUGCAAAGUGAUUAACUUUAAAAGAAAGAAUCAUAGAGCUAACCAAGUUGUGUCGGAAGAUAUUCCCUGAAUUAAAAUCAUUUUAAAAAUAUAUGUAUUAAAGAUCAUACUAGAUUAGGCUGUACAGAAUCUGUAAUUGGAAUCAGGUUUCUUUGUUAUCCAUGAUAAGUAGUCAAUGUGCAGAAAAUUCUUUCUAUACCGACAAAGCAAAAACGAUGCCAAAGACGAGUUUGAAGGAUUUUCUCCAACUUACCACUGUUGCUGUAGCUAUCAUUGUAUAGUCAGCCCAUCUCAAAUAUUUCCUUAGUUUUCCUCUAGAAGAAUGAUAUAAACUUGAGGCAACACCAACUCCAAUUAAUGAAUUAGCAUAUAGCUUGGUGUUUAGAUUCUUCCUGUUUCCCAAGGUAAACAUUAGGUAUGAUGUAUAUAAGAUCACUUUUAUGUCCAUCAAGUAAGUCUUACAUAAAAGUAUCACCUUGGGGCUUGGAUCCCAAGAACUAUGAAAGGAAGUGAAGUGAGCACAUUAACAGCUCUUUCUGCAAGGUCACGAUCACCUAAGAAUAUAGAAAGAACAGAAACAUUGUUCAGAACUGUUCUUUUUAUUCAGGAGAUUGAAUGCAAGGCAACAUAUAUCCAGAAACACACUUAGUUUCCAAUACCGUGAAUGCAACCCUGGAUAGGCUUCAAAAAUGGUGGUGCUUGCUGCCAUACUCGCCUGGAAAACAUGUAGACAGAGUUAAUUGUAGUGGAUUGCUUGCAUGUUGUACAGGGUAUAAUUGAAUUGGUAAAUGACCGACUCCAAAACUGUGGAAAUGCAUAGCCACUAUUUUAACUAUUUUUUUUUUUUGGUACAACUAUUUUAACUAAAUUAUUUCACCACAUAAUACUGGCUUUUCUAUGGAAAUUACUCAUCAAUUAGGUUUAUCACUCACUGCAUAGACAAACUUGUUCCAAUAGCCAAACUUGUACAAGUUGAGUGAGCAAAGUCCCCAUCUUGAGUAGUCUCUUCUGAUUCGAACCGUGAAGAAGGCACAAUAUGUACCCCAUGCACGCCCGCUAGGGCUCUACUAGGAUUCAAUGUACUCUGGGGACUCAUAAAUUUUUCAAAAGUAAGCCAAAGUGACUUUAUUGCCAGCAAAAAUUUGCUGGCAACAGCUGGAAGAGGUGUGCUGAAGGCGAGCCAAUGUAUUGCUUGUAAUUGUACCACUGCAAAACACAGCAAUAUGUCUAUGAAUUAAGAGCGCAUCACCCUGUUGAGAGAAUCCACUGAAUUUCAACUUAACCAUGCACUGAAAAAACACAAUAAUGACAUUCUUUAUCCAAUAAGCAAAUAAUUUGUUAUCCAGUUCUAGUUUAUUGUGGGUUCUGGGAUGGUCUUCAAUUACAAUCCAUGAAAAGGGGAACAAGAAUAACACUGGCCUGCAAUCAACAAACAGUUCGGACUUCAACUAGCCCUCUCCUACGGCAUGGAUUGGAAGAGACUCACACAUUACCAGCUUUUAAGUAUGCAAUAAACUCAAGUCAGCAUCUAGGCAUUCAAAAUUGAAAAUUUAUGGCUAUAUACUUUAAAUUGUAGACCAAAACGCAUUUUUUAAGUAUGACAGAAGCUAAAGUUUUUUACUUAAGCAUGUAAUCAGACAAAAUUGAACAUUAAUCUCAAUUUCUAUAUAAGAUCAAUGACAAAGUAUAUGUAUAAGAUCAAUGACAAAGUAUAGUACUUUAUCAAAAAGUGUCGGCAUAUUCAAUUACUACAAGCAAAGGAAACUCAUUCAAUGUAAUCCAGUAACAAUGUGAAUCUCUUUGGAAGAAAGAAAAAAAAAAAAAAAAAAACAACACCACACCUUGGGGCUACAUGAAGUUGGCACAUCAAAGCUAAAAUUUUUGAUUCUAAUACUUAACAACCAUACCAAAAUCUCAAAUUUUAGAAAUGUAGAUGUAUUGAGCAAAAACCCAGAACCCAACCAAACUGGAAGAUCCAGAACCAGAACCUAAGUUUGAUUCUUCAUCAACAUCAAACAUGCAUUUCAUCAUUAACAAACAACAGUCCGACCCAAAUUGAAUCCAUAGUAUGGUUCUUAAUCAUCAGAUACAGAGCAACAUUGAUUCACACUGAAAAACACAACAUAAUUCUGAAACAUAGAAAGAGAGACAAAAGAACUUACCUGGAAGAUGUGGCGGAUUGGUAAACCUGAGAGGAAAGGGUCGGGCUGUAAUGGAUAUUUAGGGGCAGAGUCUCUCCGGAGUCUUAAUACUCCGGAGCACCGUAGAAACUUUUGUCUAUAAAUAGAGGAAAGGAGAGAUAGAGAAACAGAGGAUGAAAGGGUCGGUUUAUUUCAGUUUAGAGAAACUAGAAUCUGGGGAGAGAUGCGCAUGAAUCACGAAUGUUCCUCAUAUGGUGCGAACGCAUAUUCCAAUUCGUAUCCAAAUGUGCCAUAAGUGACCAACAGUCGUAGCUUAAAGGCGUGUGUGGACAAGUCCAAGUUUGCAAUGUUGUCUUCUUUGUCUUUUAACCCUCUCUAUUCUCCACCAUUGGUGUGAAUUCCACUGUUACAGAGGGCUCCAAUCAUCUUCCAGUUCCAACCCCAUGUGUACAUACCCUGUUUAUUAUUGGUUCUAAUUUGUUUUCAUUUUUGACAGAACAGGAAAGUGUGAGAUUCGCAUAUAGUUAGAUACUUUUCUGUUCCUCUGCAUAAACGUUGCAACAAAUUCAGGGGCUACAUCAUAAAUAUCAUGCUUAGAUUUUGAGGUCAUCAUCAUCGUUACAUCUUAAAGAGUUUUGAUUUUUUUAGUAACCGGUAUAGGUUAAAGCCACGACAAGUUUCAUACAUCUAUAAAUUUAUAAAUAUUUAAGCAAUAUUAGAAGAAAGUGCAUUGAAAUUCUUGAGGUCCAUCACUUGGGGAAAACUUCUAAAAAAAAUCAUGUUUUACUAAUAGUGUGAUAAAAAGAUGGUUCAUUUUACAUGUUUUGACAUACCAUGGCAAUAAGCUUGAAGGAGACUAGGAGAGAUUGCAAAUCAAUGACCAGGAGAAAAGAAAUAUGGGUUGCAAAUGUAGAGCAGGAAACUAUAGAUUGGGCUCAAUGAACUGGUCUGUAGGCCCAUUGGGCCUCAGGCGAGGAGACUGUUCGCACUAUACACUAUACAGGCCAGAAUGAAGUACAGAGCAGUCAUUUCAGCCAGUGAUUUUAAGGACAAGUCCUAUCAGAUCAAAAGAAGCAUCUCAUGUCGACAUGCUGCUUUGACUCCAUUAUAGUUUAUUAGUCUAAUUUAUUAAAUUUACAACAUUUGACUAUGGACUUCUCAGUCUUGACUUGAGUAGUAGAGCCCCUACUGAUCGAUUUAGCUGUCAUUCCCAAACUGUCAUUACCAUCUUGGCUGUGCUGCUCAACAUCUUCUUCUUGUGCGGUUCUGCCUAGCUACUCAUCAUGACUCUGAAAUCCGAAUGAUUAAUGUUACGAUAAGAUAUCGCCCGGACCCCAAUCAUGAUUCAUCAUUAUACCUCAAACUCAAACUUACUAAUUACUACCCUGUUGAGUAACUGAUCGGAAAACUGUAAAUGUGAAACUAGAUAGAGUUGCAUUUCUGUGUGAGGCUAUUGUCAUUGACAACUAUAAUCUAUUACAUAUUUACAUCCAAAAUGUGAGAUCUUUCCUGAUCGAUAUAGUCGCAUUCAUCUUCAUCGUUCAUCCUCUCAUAUUCAUCGUCAUACAUUAUAUCAAACCAUUUACGAGUACUUGCAACGAAUGAACACAUUUAAAUCAUAACUUUGUUAGUAAUUGAGCUAUUCGAUUUCGUGUUGCACCAAAAACAACACAAGAAUUCAAAUCCAAUAUUAAGUGCUAAUUAUUAAACCAAACUAAUUGGUUGCCAAACGAGUCCUAAUUAAUGACAGACAAAUUGAAAAGAAUUGGUGUCCAAUUAAGGCAUUGGUACAUACCAAAUCGAAUGGAUGACUCAACUUAUUAUAGAUAUAUAAAGGUUACUCCAUAUGAUCGAGGGUAUAUAUGUAUGCAUACUUAAAUGAGGACACACGAUUGUAACUCAUAGUUGGACGGGACCAUAGCAAAUAUUCCCUAGCUAAAAAGAAGUUGCACGCUGUGACAAUUAAGCAAAAGGGUGUUUACCUACGACCACCACCAUCAAGUUUGUUUAGCAAAACUCCAUUUUUACAUAGCUACCAAUUCCAUGUUUGAUUAUAUAUACGUGUUCCGGGGACAACGGCUAUUAAUACUGGACAGAGUCCCACACCCUAAGCCUCCCCAACUCCAAAGUCUCCAAGAAAGCUCACAAAAACCAAACAGAUACCGAAGAGCAAAACCAGAUUAGAAAAACAAGCUGGUGCACAGUCCAAAGCUUCGAUCAGAGAAGCAGCGCAAAUAAGAAAAUAGAAGAAGGUUCCAGGAAUCAAGGGUCAAGUUAUGUCAUGUGCCGAGACCCACCAGACAAGGAAUUGAAGAUGCACCAACAGAGAUAACAUCAAAACCUUUCAUAUCAAUCCUCUCUUCCUCUCUUGCUCUUGCUUCUCUAGCUUGCUAGCUAUCCAGUUCUUGCUUCUCUAGCUUGCUAGCUAUCCAGUUCUUGCUUCAGUACUCGACCUUUGUUUUUUCCAGUGAGUCACACCCACCCCACUGCACAGUGUGAGCGUCAAGGCUUUUAUGGUUUUCUCUUCGCUUGGUGCUACUAUUCUCCACGAGCAAUGAGAUCAGCUACAGAAGGUCUUAUUUUGUUGCUGUGGAUCGUCUUAAUUCUUGCUCAAACGACAACUUCCGUUUCUGUUGCUCAUAGUAGUAUUUCUGGUCACGAGUCGACAACUACUGGCCGGUUGUUAAUUAGUACUAAUUCUCCGCCGAGAAAAGCACGUGUUCACGGCAAAGUCUGGUUCCAUGCACCGUCGAGUACUCCAUCUCGUGAUUUUUUUGCCGGCGUCUACGGCGAAGACAAAAGAUUAGUUCAUACAGGUCCGAAUCCGCUUCACAACUAGUGAAAAUAAUGCUUGCUGCGUGGGGCAUAUCGGUAACUGCUGCUGCUGCUGCUGUAGCUGUGUAUUCUCAAGUGAAAAACGACUGUAAUAUCUUCCUGUUGUCGACCUCCAUUUUUACUUUAAUUUUUUCGGGUCCAUUUUGUACGUUCUUUGAAUUUUUGAAUUAGGUAGAGAGAAGAAAGAAUGAGAGCAUGGCUUUAGCCUUUUCAGUAAGGUUUGAUGUAGGGGAUGGGCGGUGUAGGAAAUUACGAGAGCUGGGAAUGGUAAAUUGGGGGAUGUGAUAUCGAGGGGCUAGUGUAAAUGCUCUUGUUUCUUUUUUGCAGUCAUAGUUAUUAUAUGCAUGUUCUUACUUUUUUUCUGUACCUUCUGUUCAAAAAAUUCAUUGUAGUCUGAAUUAAUUGCUCUCUUCAUAAAUUCCUAGCUUCUUCAUCUACCCUCUUCGAUCUGCAUUAUUGCCAGUACGUUCUUCACCCUCCGGAAUACAGAGGCGCGCUUCUGGAAUUAGGGUUUCGGAUCGGUUUCUUUCUCUAACUCUGUUUCCAACGAUUCAAAUCUUCCGAGCUUCAGCAUUGCGCAUUGCGCAGAUAAACUGAAAUGUACAUUCAGAUUUAACUCAUUAGGUUUGUUGAAUCACUGGAUUAGUUAUUAGGGUUUCCUAUAUAGCAAGUCUUACUGUAUUGGCCAAAAUGCGACCAUACACUCAAUCAAUGCUGUUCUCCAUGAUUGGGCUUCACUAAGAUGUAAUCAGACCUAGCUGUUCGAUUAGCUAGAUCUAAUCACCCAGCAAUGAUUCAACGACUGGUUAUUUUCCACGUGGGAAAUCAUCAGCAUAAGGAUCGAUGGAGAUGGCUUUUGUGAAAGGGCACUGGAACUAGCUAGAUAAUCGAUCGGCUUUGAAUAUUGGCUGGGUGUGUGGGACUAUAUUCAUUCAUAUUUGGAUUUGAUUGUUCCCAGAAGUCCUAUCUGUAUUUUGACUUCAAUGCGUUUGCCUUGUUGUUUUUUUCGCUCAAAGAGGAUGCCUGUCUGUCUCUACUGUCUCCAUGGGUAAACACGCUUCCUCAAGAUUUAGGAUCCUAUUUUCCCAACCAUAUUAAUGCUGCUGAAACAAAUUUCCAUGGAUGAGCAGUACUCAUCCAGUAUAGUACUCAUCGGGGCUCUCCCUUUUCUUUUUUACUACAUCGACAUGGUACGUAUAUUUUUUUAUUUUUAAUUUACUGACAAGGAUUAAGCGCGAUAUCAGCUCCUCUAUAGUAAUUUGGCAGAGUAUCCACUCUACCCGAAAUGGACCGCUACAAACCGGGAACCCGUCCCUUAUUAGAUUUUUAUUUAUAAAAAAAACAUGGUACGUACAUGAGGCACUGUUCGUUUUACUCCUCGUUUUUCAUGAACCUUGAUAUGCAACACAACAGGAAAAACACCAGACACCAUAAUCGAAUCUUCAUGCUUAGAUGUUCUAGCUUAUUCAUCGAUUCUGUACGUGAGAAGAAGAACCACUCAUAUGCUAGAUAUAUAAUAUGACUUGUGCUCUCAAAGUUGUCAAUGCUACCUGUAUAUGGACAAAACAAAGUUCAAACUCUCAAGGUUAGAUCAACAAUUAGACAAAUCUGAUUAGAAACUUCCUUGGAAUGAGUUGUGUAAACAAAGUUUGGUGAAUCCCAUAAAAAUUGAUUAAAAUGACACUAACCAAAUAUAUAUAUAUAUAUAUUGUCUAGAGAACAGAAAAGAUAUUUCUUCUAGUCCAUGCUUUUGGAUUAGUUCAAAAAUCAAAGCACAAAAGAUUCUGCUGAUUGAGAAGAAAAAAUGUCGAGCUUAUCAUUUUGCGGAUCAUUUUGAUCGAGCAAGGUGCAGGUGUUGUUUUCCCUGUGAGAUGAAUGUUUGCUUGGAAUCAUUCAUAAAUGUGUGAGUUAAUAAAAGAGGGAAGGUCUGGUGGAAAAUGCAACUACCUCAUCCCUCUCCUACGUCAAGUCCCAUAAAACCUGUUUAUUGCUUCUACCCACCCCAGGAUUCUGCAUUAGUUCUAUUGCUAGCUAGCUGGUUUUUUCAGAUUUUUAUUUUUGCUUUUUCUAAUUUUAAAUUUGUUUGGUUCCUCAACAUCUUCAUUGAUGAAUCAUUAACGAUCGUCAUCUCUUAUAACUAAUGUGGAACCCAUGACAAAUAGAAGGUUUAAUGGUUACACGCUGGUAUUGACAAGUAGAAGACAAUGCCAAGUUUGAGCCUAGUAAUUUUAAUCCUUCCAAUUUGUUUUUUCUUAAUCUCAAUCUACGACAUAUUCUCGAUCAGGAUCGAUGACACAAACAUAAAUUUGAAACAAAGCUUCCUUCGCUAAUGGAGAUAUUCUCCAGAAACUUCAAUUGUCGAGAUGUUAGAGAACCUCGAUCAUAGUCGGCAGGCAAAAGGAGAGAAUUACCAGAGUAUAUCUUCGGGAGAGAAUAUGUCAUUGUCUCGAUCAAUAUCCACAAUGCAAUUCACUCAUUAGAAUACAUCAUUUGCCCCAUAUAUAUAAAUUUCAGUGAAUUCGAAAGGCAUUAAUGUCAUGAAUGUAGCUGGGUCUCAUUCAUCAUCAUGUAUACAACCAGACGACAGGCUGGGGGUUGAUUUGAACGAUUGAUAAUAUCCUACAAAGUGGUCAUAUCUGAUAUUCUGGAAACCAGAUCGAAUUUCUUAAUUCAAUCCUCGAUCGAUCAGUAAGUAAACAAUUAAAACAUCAAAGGAUUUUUCAUUGUUAAGGUUAAGGGUUUGCAAGCAGAAGUUCGGUGAACACACAGAGAUAUUUAGGAGCUGAUUUUUAUACCAACAAAAAGAUUGCAUCGAGUAGUUUCAUACUUUCAUUUAACAUGUUGAUGUUUUUCUUGGUCAGAGAGUCAGAGCCAAGUAGCUGCACACUGAUAUUAUAAUGCAGUAGCAAACAAAUGGGAUUAAAUAUGAAUCUAUGGAAGGAGGGAAAGACAUACUGGCCUUGGGAGUCAUAAAUUGCUUCCAUUGAUUGACCAAAACAAUGCAGGUUAAGUUUCUUUGAUUCUUUUGUUCGAGGAAAAAAAAUAUACAUGUUUUCUCUAACAACUUUACAAUUGGUAUCAGCUGCAUGGGCAUUUGCUCCCCUUAAUAAUCAAGCAUAUAAGUAACAAUUGCUCAAUUAUAGGUGUGGAAAAAGGAGAGGAAUAUAUAACUUCGGUUUUGUGUUUGACACAGUUGAUCUGAAGUUCUGAACUGGCAGAAUGAACCUGUGUUUUAAGUCUCUUAUUUUCAUUCAUAUUGAUCUCGAUCAAUCUCAAUGGAAUGCUUAUUAUCGAUCAGCUUUUCUUUUGCUUUGUUUCUGAUUUAGUAUUGUAUCCUUCUUAACGUACAUAGAACUAAAAGAACAUCUAAUUACUGCUUAUAAUAAUCAUCCAAAAUAAUAGAACAACAUAUUAGUACUUUUUCUUUUGUUGGCUAUCAAAACACUUGCACAUCAUAUAUUGACUUCUGUAUCUUUGAAGGCUUUAACCACUAAAAACAGUACGCCUGCACAGCAGCUGCACUCAUUUGAAUCUUGAGUCUUGACCACAAUGUGCAGUUUAAUUAUAAAGAACUAGCUUCUCAUAUGCGCAAUUAUAAUAUGGUAGAUUGAAUAAUAAAAGAAAACCCUGAGCUAAAGACGGAGCCAUCCUUUUAGACUUCACUUCAUAUUAGGUUAUUAGUAGUAUAAUUUGACAGGUCUAGCUAUGAACAAGUUCUUGCUGAUCUAGCUAGAGUUUUUCGGUUAUCAUUGUGAAAGAAUAAAUUAGUCACAAACACAAUGCUUCGGCUUGAUUUGCACGAAAAAAGUUCUUCUGCCAGCUUUACUCUAGUUGAAAUUUCCUGUAACAUAAUGCAAUAUAUGUACAAAUCUCCUCAGCAACUUAUGUACCAAUCUCUGAAUAGAAUAUGCCAAAGAUACAUUUUAUGACAAGUUCACAAAAUCUGAGAACCAUUUAUCGUGAAAUAAUUCAUACUUGAACUAAAAUGUAGAUUAGGAAUGUCACAUUGUGAGAUGUAUCACUGCCUCUUGGGUUAGUAUAGUAUUAUAGACUCCAACUUCAUACGAAUUUGGAUAUCUCAGACAGAUAUAACCCUGCCUCUUGGGUCAAUGACUUUGCUUCCCCUGGUAUCACAGUGAACAAAAGAUGGUGAAUAAUCAUGAUGAUGGGGAAUUAGAGACAUCUCAAUGUUGGGGCAACUUCACAUACGAUCAGCAAUAGAUCUCAGAUAGUUGAUCCCAGUAGGCACAUCACUUAUUAUCAGCUCAUUGGUGAUUCUGCAAUCACACCUCAAGAUUAAGAGAAAAUGGAGCAAGAACACUGUGAAGUUGAUCUAAAACACAUCUCUCUACUCCUUGACAUUUCCGGUUAUCAUUGUCCCUUGUGAUCACCAAAAGUUGUUGCAAGAACACUCACCAUUUCUAAAAUGAUGAAAACGGAUUUUAUCUCUCAUGAUAAUCUCCCUUUUGGUUGCUUUAGAGACAAAUUUACAGAAACUGUGGCAGUCAUCACAUAUCCGUAAGUUCUUCACCACUCUAAUUGAGCAUUCAGGCUGUAGACUUAGAAGACUAAAUGCAAUGGCAAGCUUUUCACUGUGAUGACUGAGUGUGGCUUCCUUUUCCUCUGUUCCCACAUCAUGGAACACAGAGUUGGUAUUAGGAGUAUAACCUAUAUUCUUCACCUGUCUUAAUAGAUCCUCCAACUUUUCAUAUAUUUUUGAUGAUUCUGGACGGAAUCUGUUACCACCAAAGAAUAUAUGGAUUUUUCCAUUAAAUUCUACAGAGCUAUAGGCAGCUACUUUCUUAGCACCUCUUUUUCUCAUUUUGAGCCUCACCUUAUCAACACAGUCCCACCUUCCAGCAGCCGCGUACAUGUUUGACAUCAAGACAUGAUAUGAACCAUUAGCAGGAUCUAAUUCAAAAAGCACAUCAGCUACAUGCUGACCCAGUUCAACAUUUUGGUGGACUGCACACGCACCCAAUAAGGCUCCCCACACCCCAGAAUCCGGUUCAAUUGGCAUACUUCUUAUGAAGUUAUAAGCCUCCUCAAGAUGUCCUGACCGACCAAGGAGAUCAACCAUACAAGCAUAGUGCUCUAUUUUCGGUUGAAUAUUCUUGUCACCGGAUUGAACCAUGCGCUUAAAAUAAGCCCUGCCUUCAUUCACCAGCCCAGCAUGGCUGCAUGCAGAUAAAACUCCCAGAUAUGUAACAUGGUUGGGCGCAACUCCACGCUCUUGCAUCCUCGAAAACAUAUCCAACGCCUUCCGGCUCUCCCCAUUCAUGGCAUACCCCAACACCAUAGUGCUCCAGGAAAUAACAUUUCUCCGAGACAUAUCCUCAAACAAAGCCUCAGCCAUGUCUACACUACCGCAUUUGACAUACAUAUCAAGCCGCGCAUUGGCAACAAUCACAUUGCAACCAAUCCCACAUUGUCUCAUAAUCCCAUAUAUUUCCUCCCCAGUCUCCAAACACCCCAACUGCCCACAAGCCGAAAAAGCACUCACAAUUGUAACAGCGUCAAGCUUCACUCCCGCCACACGCAUCCUGCGAAACAAAUCAAGAGCCUCGGCAGCAUGUCCACUCUGCACGCACGCAGCAACAAAAGCAUUCCAAGCAACUAAAUCCCUCUCAACCAUACUUCCAAAUAAAAACCGCGCCAAUCCCAACUCUCUAUUUCUCACACACAUUACCACCAUCUCCGUCCUCACUUCCGCCACAAACUCCAACCCAUAUUUCACCGCAUGCGCCGCAACCGCCAGCCCCGCCCACGGCAGAAGCUGAGCACACGCCUUAACUACAAAAGUGUACGUAAACUCGUCCGGACGGACACCUAGUCUAUGCAUUCUCCUAUACACCGCCGCCGCCUCGAUAAAGUCUCCAUCUUUCACAUAAGCCUUGAUCAUCGUGUUCCAUAGAAAUACUCUCGGCUUGUGCAUUUCGUCGAACACCUUGCGUGCAUAGGAAGUUUCCCCCAGGGCUAUGAAGCUGGUGAUGAGACGCGUGAGGAGGCUGUUCUUGACGGAGAUUCCGGUGGUGAGAAUCACGGCGUGGAGUUGCUUCAGCUGGUCUGGGUGUGACGAGCAUGACUCCAACUGCGCCGUGAAGGCUUGUUUGGUAAUCGUCACAGGAACCGGGUCGGGUUUCCGGGUCAAGUUCAAAUCCAAUUCAGCUCGAGAAGAGAACCGUGAAAUUCGGUUCCGCCAGAUCAUGCAGUGUCUUCUGGUAACUUGCAUUUGGGGGGACUCUUCCAGAUUUUUCAGAAGGGAGGAUGAGUAAAACGCUGUCGUUUUGCAUCGGCAGAUUUCAGAUAUUUUACCGGGAGAAUUGAAAGCAACGUGACUGGGGGGUGUUUAGGUAAUUUCGUAAGCGGCUGGGUAAAUUGGUCUCAGCCAAAGGAAAGGCUGGUCCAGUCCUGCUCCAGUCAUGGCUGCCCAAUCGCCGCGCGGGUGGUCAUGGAGUUCAUCCACCUACUCCACCACCGCUGCCAAGUGCUCUUCUUCCACCUCGUCGAAUCUCUCUUCGUUUUAUAUAAAACGACGUCGCUUCACCGCUUGCUCUUCCUCUUCUAAAUCUUCCGGUAGCUCCGGCGAGAAACCCGGGCCGAAAAAGCCGGCGAAAUUGGAUUUUACAGCCCCCGGUCCAACCGCAUUAGUGAAAGUCUCAAAGGGAAAGGGAUCCACAAGUGAAAAGACGAUUACAGCCCUGAGCUUCAAGCCUGGGAAGCGAUCUCUAUGGAAGAGGAUAUUCUUCGCCUCCAAGAAAGUUAGGAGCAUUCUUCUGCUGAAUGUGAUCACUGUAGUCUAUGGUAAAAGCUUAUUCGUUUUUUUUUUUUUUCAUAAUCAAGUUAAUUAUUUCGAGCUCAAAUUUGGAGUAUUUAAAGUUAAGAUGACAGUGGCUAAUGUUGUUUGUAGCAAGUAACUUCUCGAUUGUGAAAGAGGUGGAGUCUGUGAUCGACCCGGCGGCGUUUACGGUGGUGCGGUUUGCUAUGUCAGCUGUCCCAUUCAUCCCAUUUGUCAUCCGAGCAAGAGGUGAUGUGGAAACUCGUAAUGCAGGGAUUGAGUUGGGGUUCUGGGUUAGUUUAGGGUAUCUUAUGCAGGCAUUGGGACUGCUAACAUCGGAUGCUGGUCGCGCGUCGUUUCUUUCUAUGUUCACUGUGAGUGUUUUGCAUUAUGUUUGUAGGCAAUGUGUGUUAAAAGAUUGUUGUUUUGGGAGUACCUGAAGGUACUUGUUGGUAUAUUUUGGGUGAAUUUAACAGGUGAUUAUCGUUCCCUUGCUUGAUGGUAUGUUAGGAGCAAUAGUCCCUGCUCGUGUCUGGUUUGGUGCCUUCAUGUCUAUUGUAGGAGUUGGGCUGCUGGAGUCCAGUGGAUCUCCCCCUAGUGUAAGUUCUAUUACUCUUCUUAAGAUUGUAUAAGUGUAAUGCUGAUGAUAAUAAAGUGCAGAGGACCAAGUUGGGUUUUCUCUGUGGCCUGUUUAGAGAUCAGAAUCUUAUAAUUUCUGGUGAUCUUAUGUUCCUAGUUUGCAUAUAGGGUGCCGACUCAGAUAUAAGUAUGUUUCGUUUCAUAGAACUAGAAUAUAGACUUCUGGAUACUGACCACUUAAUUGCAAUAAAACAUUGGUUCUGUAAUUCUGAUUACACCUGCAUGAGUCAAGUACAGUUUCAAGUGCCAAAACAAUAUCCACUUCUGGUGAUAAGAUUAACCUAUUCAAUAACUAGUGAAAUGGGAAACAGCAUUGUCGAUAGUGAGUUACAGCUCUCUUGGCUUAAAAGGAGAGAAAACUCUCCAUAUGUGUGUGUAAACAUGUAAAUAUAAUUUAUUUAUCAAAUGUAUGCAGGUUGGAGAUUUGCUGAACUUCUUGAGCGCGGUGUUUUUUGGGGUUCAUAUGCUUAGAACAGAGCAUAUAUCAAGAAACACAAAGAAAGAAAACUUCUUGCCUCUGCUUGGAUAUGAGGUUAGUAUAUCAUUUUCGCCCAUGUAGUUAGUAUAUCUUCUUUGAUGCUCUGCAAGACUGCAACUAACCUUGGUUUCAUUUAGAUAUGCGUUGUUGCUUUCUUAUCAACAAUAUGGUACGUCAUUGGGGCAUGGUCUGGUGGUGGCCUCCACGACUUUAACCCAUCAUUGUGGACAUGGGAGAUGUUCAGGGAGUGGAUGGUUGUGUUUCCAUGGAUACCUGCACUGUACACAGGCAUAUUCUCCACUGUUUUAUGCUUAUGGGUAGAGGUAUGUGCAAAUGCUCUACUCUAAGACUGAAUAAUUUGUUCUCACAUUGCUCAAGUUGCUUGGGAAGUUGUUGGGAUACUUGCUUAUCUACAUUACAAUAAUAUAUGAAUUGUAGUGGUGCCAUGAAUUUUCUAGCAUUAUGAAAUUUCAAACACCCCUUUUUCAGCUCAGUUUUUUAACAGAAGAUUAUAUUUAACAGAUGGCCGCAAUGUGUGACGUAUCAGCCACAGAAACAGCAAUAAUUUAUGGUUUGGAACCUGUCUGGGGUGCUGGUUUUGCAUGGUUUCUCCUUGGCGAAAGAUGGGGUUCUACUGGCUGGAUUGGUGCUGCUCUUGUGCUUGGUAAAUUACUAUUGAUUUUCAUGAUCUAGUCAGCUUAAGAUACAAAAUAUCUUCAAAUUUUUUCAUUUGUUUACCAUCAAUUAUCUUUGUUAUUAGAUUACCAAAGUAAUAAAAGUGCUUCAGGUAGAAUUGCUGUCAGCAGCGAAGGACUAUUGAUCUACUACUAAAUGACAUAUUACAUCAGCUGUUAACCUUUUUAUCACUUUGUAUGGUAGAAAACUUCUGUUGCUUAUACUAGUAAUAAAAAGGAAGAGUAAUUUUUGCAUCAUAUUAACGCAUACUACACAUGCUUGGUUCUUGUUUCUCUGCAGGUGGAAGCUUAACAGUUCAGAUAUUUGGAUCAACAUCUCCCGCGGAGCCUUCAAAAGAUGAAUUGAAAGCUAAGAGACUCACUUUCCCAGUGGUUUCAGAUAAACACAAUGGCUUGUCUGCCUCACCCGUUGUAGUGAGUUCCAGAAAGGAUACACCUGAUCUGCGGAAUAAGUAAUUAACUAAGCCAUUUCUUAUGUCAGCUUCGCCUAUUCUCAGUUUUAGAUAAACAGACCACGCUCUCUAACGACAAUUCUGUUGUCACAUCACUCUCCUUGUAAUUAUGUAGCUUAUAAUCUGAAUCUCGAUUUAGGAUAGCUAAGUAAUGGAGCUUGAGGGCUCUCAGCUUUGUAUAGUUGUAUGUAGGGAGAGCUUCCAAUGAGGAUCUUAUAAUGAGGACCAAGUGAGGACUUUUAAAUGAAUGGUUGGAUGAUAUGCACAUGAGAAUUAGAAAAUAUCAAUUAAAAGUCAAAACCUUGAUCCAACCGUUCAUUUAAAAGUCCUCACUUGGUCCUUAUUAUAAGGUCCUCAUUGGAAGCUCUCCCGUUGUAUGUAUACCAGCAAUUAUUCCACAAUAAUAUGAACUCCAUUCACAAUAUACUAGUGUAGGUAUCAUCAUUUAUUACCGUAAGAAACACCCGACUGUAUGUCGUUCGGAAUACACUGAUUCAAAUUAAGAAGAAAGAAAUACACUAAUUCAUCUUUAUAUUCAGUACUCAACCUUGGCUAACAAAGGCGUACCUACACACAAGCUACGGUGGACUACAGCCCACCGCAGAAUUUGAUAAAACAUUGUUUUGUUGCAUAAUUAUAGUUAAAAAAAAAAAGUUAAAUUAUGAAAACAAGCCCACUCUAUACUUAGUCUAUAUGUAAUUAAACUUAGUUCAUAUGACAUUUUUUUUUGAAUUAAAUUCAGUUUACCCCCAUGAGGUUUGGGAGUAACUUUAUAUUAAUCCCUAUACUUUCAAUUUCAUCAGUUUACCCCUCAAACUUUUGAAUUUCCCUUAACCGUGACCAAUGUCUCAUCUUCUGUCCAAAUCAGACGUUAAUUGCUGACGUGGACCCAAUCUCAUGAGUUAAAUUAUGUUUGUACCCGAAGCUUAGAAAAUUUUCAACUUAGUUAGGGAUAAAAAGGAAUGAUUUUUUAAUUUUUUUUUCACUAGUUUUUUUGUUAAAUGACAAUUUUAAUCUUAACAAUGGGGCUCGUAUCUAGAAUUAACGAUCAAUUCAAACAAAAUAUAAGAAUUUGGUCACGACAGACAAAAAUUCAAGAGUUCAGGGGGUAAACUGAUGAAAUUAAAAGUGUAGGGAUUAACAUGAAGUUACCCUCAAACCAUAAGAGGGUAAACUGAAUUUUUUUAUCUGAUUACAUAUAUAUUAUUUAUUUUAUUAAAAGCAGUUGCUCCUUUUGUAUAUUUUGGGUCAACUUUCUUCUCUUUAUUUCUUUUUCUUUGUCGUUGUAUACGUCUCCAUUCUCUUCUGCCGAAACAGCUAAGCCAAGUGUCAAACUUUCUCUCUUUAAUCUUCAUGUAUGGUUCUUAGUUAUAUUGAUCAUCCUCUUAAAGUCUUGUACGUGUGAUAUGACCUAGUUCUCAAAUCUCAAUUGAUUAAUGCCUUGAUCAAAUUUAGUCUCAAUAUCCCAUCAUCUCAAAUCUCAAUUGAUUAAUGUCUUGAUCAAAUUUAGUCCCAAUAUCCCAUUAUCUCAAAUCUCAAUUGAUUAAUCCCUUGAUAGUCCCAAUAUCUCAUCAGGACUGUCUUUCUAUUGAUAAUCUAAUUCUAAUCUCAAUUAUUGUAUAUGACUAAUGCUAAUGAUGUGAUAUAUAUAGAUAUAUAGUUGUAAUCAGGGCCCUUCCACUAAGGGAUCUCUUAUUAUGACUUAUAUGAGGGAUUGAGCAUUAGCCCAACUUUUUGAUCACAUAUCAACAUCUCCACCAUUCAACCUCUAGGUAUAUAUGAGUAGAUCAUUUUUGAAAAUUUUCAGCCAAAUUGGUGAUCUUUAAGGCUUCAAACUGGCUUAAAUCAAUGGACUGUUCAAAUCUGUCAAUCAUGAACCGUUCAUGAAAAUUGCAGUUUUGAGCACCUUAACGAUCAUCAAUUUAGAUGAAAUUUUGCAGAAGUGAUCUACAUAUUAGGACCUAAAAACUGAAUGGUUAAGAUUGAAAAAUGUGAUCGAAAAGUUAGUCUAAUGCUCAAUCCCUCAUAUAAGUCAUAAUAAGGGAUCCCUUAGUGGAAGGGCCAUGUAGUUGUAAUAGUACCAACAUUUGAUUCAUAGUUAUUAGAAUAUGUUAUCCCGUCGAGUUAGGUUUAAGGAUUAUAUACUCAUUUACUGUAUUGUUAGAGCGGUGUAAGUAUGUUCUUUUGUCUUUAACUUUUGUUAUCGAAUUUUUAUAAAAUGUUAUAAUAUUGAUUUCUUAAUUAUCAGUUAACUAUGUCAUUUUUUUGAUAUGUUUUUAAUUUAAGAUGUGAUAUGUAGAAUAUAAAAAAAAAAAAUUUAAACUCACCCCAACCUAAUAUCUUAGACAGGGCUGCUCACCUGCGAGACACAAUUUAAGGGAAAAAAGGGGCGAAUCGAUCUCAGCCGUUGGAUCUUUAAUGAAUAUAUCUUACGGUUAUCAAGGAAACACGAUCUCAUGCCAAUUAUCUUUUGUUCAUCUUCUUCCCUCAUCUCACCUCUUCGCAAACUUAGCAACCCAUAUCUUUUCAUCUUCUUCUCUCAUCUCAGGAUUUCUCAACAUCCCAUACGUGGGUUCUUAGAAGCCUCACAUAUUCUUUUCUAAUACGAGUGGUGUAACUUGAAAUCAACAUGUAAAAAAGAACCGUGAGGAUGCUCUUUAUAUAUGCUAAAUUCGAAUAAGAAAGGGAGAAAUUAAUUUGAAGAUAGACAAAUCCCAUGAAAUAGAGGAUGUGCUUUCGUCCGCCCGUUGUGCCUGGAUUCAAACCCAAGAUACAAUCUUCUUCGAAUUUGUCGAGUCUCUUAUUUCUCAUACAAUUGGAACAGAGCAUAUGUGUGUAUAUUUUUAAGAGCAUAUAACAUGGUUAAAAAGAAAUUUCUGAGAGGAGAAGAAUGAAAUAGAAUUGGGUUUAGAGAUAUAUGAGAGGAGAAGAGUAUGAACUGAUCUGGGUAUGGCUUAGAGAGGUGAGAGGUGAGAGGCGAGAGAUGAGAGGAGAGGAAACAUGGAUCUGCAGAAGUUGAAUAACAACAAUUCGAUUGGAUGGUGGCUGCCAUGAGAACCGUAGGAUGUGUUCAUUAAAGAUCCAACGGCUGAGGUUGAUUCAUCCCUUUUUGUCCCUUAAAUUGUGUCCCGCAGGUGAGCAGCCCUGAUAUCCUAGGUCCGCCAUUGUUGGCCAACAUAUUGCUGCUAAGUAUUCGUCUUCUAGUUCCAUUUCCACGCCUAAAAUCCGUCUCCAACAUGAUCAUCUCUAUCAAAUUGGUACUUAAUCUUGGCCAACACGAUCAGGUUCUGCUGCAAAAUGUUCGUCUUCUAGUUCCAUUUUCAAACCUUUCUUAAUUUCGUGUUGCCUUGUUUCAAAUAGUUGACUCUAUCAACUUGAUUAAUAUCAAUUUGGAUACACACCCUACGCCUUAACAUAAUCUAAAUAGUUAUUUAUUAAGAAUGUACGUAGGAGACUUGUUGGAUUUGCUCUAACCGAUCGAAUCAAAGUUCUUGUUGAUCGAAUGAGGAUGAGUCUGUAGCAAAUCGAUUUUCACGAGUAAGACAUCACUCUCAGAUGAUUUUCUUGUCAUGCAAUCUCACAUACAGUUGCCUGCAGUCAUUAUCUUUUAGUUUCAAUAAUACAAUUUAAGAGACGGUACGUAUGGGAGUUGGCGAUGAUUUCUUAAAAACAACAAAAUAAUGCAAUAAUAUCAAAAAAUAAUUAGAUUAUCCAACAGUGAACAUGUCAGUAUUACGAUCAUCUCGCACUCUGCAGUGUUAACAAUUUUCAAUUGAAAAAAGGGAGAUUGAUUGUUGCUGAGAUAUGAUAAGACCAAUGAUAAGAUCUGAUUUAUUGAGACCAUGUGAAGCAUUACAUGUUUUUCAGAAGGUAAAUCAUAUACAAUACCUAAUAAUUUAGCUGAAACUGUAGUGGAAUUAAUAUAUUAAUGUUCUCUAAGUUCUUGCCCUAUUAUAUAUAGCACACAAGAUUGGUACGUUGUAUACCGCGAUCAUAUGAACUUAGGGUUCUGAUCAGUAGUAAAAAUAUCAAUCAAAAAGUACCGAUCGAUAAUCAAACAUGUCUCUUCAAGGUAAGGUGGAAGCUGAAUUUGAAAUCACAGCACCUGCUGACAAGUUCUACAACAUUUUCAAGAUUGAGGCUCACCUAGUCCCAAACACUUCUCAAACUGGCAGUAUAACUGGAGUUGCAGUGCAUGAAGGAGACUGGGAAACUGACGGGUCUAUUAAGAUUUGGAACUAUGCAAUAGGUAAGCCAUUAUAUGCGUAAUUGUUCGAUCUGUUAUUAGACUGUACAUGACCAAAGCUGCCUCUGAAAAAUUAGGUAGGUGAUGUAGAGGUUUUCAGUUAUAAUUGUUUUACAGUGAUUUUAACUCUCUUGUUAAUAUAGAGGGCGAAGUGGGAACAUUCAAGGAGAGGGUGGAGUUAGACGAGGUGAACAAGACCAUAACUCUGAAUGGAUUGGAAGGAGAUGUGUUUCAGUAUUACAAGAGCUUCAAGCCUAUCUAUCAGUUCACUCAAAAGGAUGAGGGCAGCAGCAUUGCCAAAGUGUCCAUUGAAUAUGAGAAGCUGAGUGAGGAGGUUGCAGCUCCAGAUAAGUACAUCCGCUUGAUGACUAACAUCGUCAAGGAUCUUGAUGCCCACUUCGUCAAGGCCUAAAGAAGGAAUAAUUAGCAUGCAAUACGAAAGCUAUAGCUCUCGCUAUUGCUACUGCAUGCUGGUUUUGUAAAAUUAAAAACAAAUAAUCAUCUAGUACUGUUGUGGUGUUCUAAUUUUGAUGCUAAGUAUAUAUCACCAUUGNGAUGAAUAAAUGUGUGAACGGUGAUAUUGAUAUGUAUAUGGUAUAUGUAUNNNNNNNNNNNNNNNNNNNNNNNNNNNNNNNNNNNNNNNNNNNNNNNNNNNNNNNNNNNNNNNNNNNNNNNNNNNNNNNNNNNNNNNNNNNNNNNNNNNNNNNNNNNNNNNNNNNNNNNNNNNNNNNNNNNNNNNNNNNNNNNNNNNNNNNNNNNNNNNNNNNNNNNNNNNNNNNNNNNNNNNNNNNNNNNNNNNNNNNNNNNNNNNNNNNNNNNNNNNNNNNNNNNNNNNNNNNNNNNNNNNNNNNNNNNNNNNNNNNNNNNNNNNNNNNNNNNNNNNNNNNNNNNNNNNNNNNNNNNNNNNNNNNNNNNNNNNNNNNNNNNNNNNNNNNNNNNNNNNNNNNNNNNNNNNNNNNNNNNNNNUAUUCAUCAUGUUGCGACCAAGACUAACUAUAUAGCUCAUACAGCAGCAGGCAACAUUUUCAUGAUAAGAAACGUCCAUUUGUAUACUUCAAAAAAAAAACGUCCAUUUGUAAUCUAACUAAUGUUCGAUGUCAACCAUAUUAUUGUUGGCAGCUACCAAACAAACUAUUUUGAUCGGUCUACAUAUAAAUGGAGCUGGCUGUGAAGUAGCCAAAUGAUUCCCUUUACAUGCGAGCAUGCCUGGCCAAAAUACUGGAUCUACUGUGAGCACAGAUGAGUAGCUUGGAGAUUCAUUCUCGGAGAUCGAUCAUUCAGUGUGGACGCUUAUCUAUGCCGGCCUCUACUAGCAAACAUAACACGUGAAGACACUAAUAGUUCUAGAUUUGGUAGGGUUUAGACGCUUAGAGCCUAUCUGGGGUGGUUUCGCAUGUUUCGCUUACCCAUCCCACAUGCAUUUACAAUAUUGGUGAGAUUUGGAUUCAUCAUUUCUACGAUAUUAGUUAAAUUAGAAAACAAUUACGCCGCAGCUCACAGACAAUUAAUUACGUUAUAGUUGAAUACUUGAAUUAGAAAGAGUUUGUAUGUAGCUACAUAUCAUGAAGAGUAAGUAAACCAUCACUCUUAAGAGAUUUUCUUGUCUGUCAUAUAAUCUAACAGCUGUCUGGCGUAUGUUAUUAAUUAUCUUAUUUUUAUUUCAAUAAUACAAUUAAAAAAGGGUAAAUAUGGGAGUUGGUGAUGACUUAUGAUUCUAAAAACAACGAAGUAACCAAUUAGAAUAUCUAAAAGAAAUAUAUAAAAUUAAAAAUUAUAAAAAAAGCUAGCCUUUAAGAUACCGUGAACUAAUCUAAAAAGUGCGNNNNNNNNNNNNNNNNNNNNAAUCAUAUGAUAAUAUCAAUAAUAGGAGGACCAUGUGAAGCGCAUGUUUACUGAAAUGAAAUUAAUAGUACCUAAUAAUUUAGCUGAAAGCGUAGUGGAAUUGAUCGACGUUAUCUGAUAGUUCUGCCUUCUGCCCCCUAUUAUAUAUAGCAAACAAGAUGGGUAGCUUAUCGGCAUAUCGCGAUCAUAUACUUUGGGUUCUGAUCAGUAUCAUAUCGAUCACAUCACAGAGUACCGAAAAUCAAACAUGUCUCUUCAAGGUAAGUUAGAGACUGAAUUUGAAAUCACAGCACCUGCUGACAAGUUCUACAACAUCUUCAAGAGUGAGGCUCACCACAUCCCUAACACUUCUCAAACCGGCACCAUAACUGGAGUUGCGGUGCAUGAAGGAGACUGGGAAACUGAAGGAUCUAUCAAGAUUUGGAGUUAUUCAAUAGGUAAGCCAUUAUGUACGUAAAUGUUCAAUCUGUUAUAUAUAAGACUGUUAAUUUUAACCAUAUAUUAACCAAAGCAGCUGGUUCUGAAUCACUCGACAGGUUGAGAUAUCAGGAACGGUUGAGAUUUUCAGUUAUAAUUAUUGUUACAGUGAUUAUUUUCGUGUUUAUAUAUAGAG
This 34692-nucleotide long non-coding RNA is filed under the name Fragaria vesca (wild strawberry). RNAcentral's name for it is "long non-coding RNA (FVES_LNC002037)". Lineage: Eukaryota; Viridiplantae; Streptophyta; Magnoliopsida; Rosales; Rosaceae. The record is from RNAcentral.